Molecule: ribosomal RNA, 253 nt
Filed under: uncultured prokaryote
Description: partial 16S ribosomal RNA
Rfam family: Bacterial small subunit ribosomal RNA
Source: RNAcentral
GACAGAGGGGGCAAGCGUUGCUCGGAAUCACUGGGCGUAAAGGGCGCGUAGGCGGGAUGGCAAGUCAGUCGUGAAAUCUCUCGGCUCAACCGAGAAACGUCGGCUGAUACUGCCGUUCUUGAGGGAUGCAGAGGAGACUGGAAUUCCCGGUGUAGCGGUGAAAUGUGUAGAGAUCGGGAGGAAUACCUGUGGCGAAAGCGGCGCACUGGACCAUAACUGACGCUGAGGCGCGAAAGCUAGGGGAGCAAACAGG